UUUUCUCUCCUGAUUUCUCUACCAAACAAUUUUGCUUAUUUGUUGAUGAACUUAAGAAAUAAUGAAAUAUACAUCGAUUUGUUUAUUGAUAAACCCACGUAACUUAAAUUAAAUGCGAGAUGACAUUGCGAUUGUGAAAGGGUGCAUAAUCUCCUCUUGGGUCGUUUACAACGAGGAAAGAGAUUGUGGGAACGACGGUUAUCAGUGAUCGUUUACGGUAGUACGCUGCGUUUGUCGAAAUUAAAGGAUUCUUUGGCGGACUUUCAUCCACAUUUCUUCUUUUACUGCUAUUAAUCCGUAAUUUACUGGAUAGCGUGGUUUUGAAGUGGAUGUCCAUGUGGAUGAAUUGAAGACAAAAGGAAAGCUUUUACGACGGUUUUCCAUCUUUCUUUUUAUUCACGUUUUAUCCUUGGCUAUUGACGAAGACAAGGAAAUGACUAUCAUCGGAUAUCGUUGGAAAACUUAAAAAUGGCACACUGAUAUGCUCACCGUUGGACCCACGAAAGAACCAGCAAAGAAAAGGUCCAGAGAAGAAAGAUAUGAAGGAUCGCAUUAG
Molecule: long non-coding RNA, 556 nt
Filed under: Helianthus annuus (common sunflower)
Lineage: Eukaryota; Viridiplantae; Streptophyta; Magnoliopsida; Asterales; Asteraceae
Description: sRNA HanXRQr2_Chr14g0637011
Source: RNAcentral